GUCCAACCUGGUGUGAUCGAUGGACUUUGAGGAUUGGAUGGAUCAGUUUCUGCUCACAAGGUCAAGAAAAAAACUCUUCUAAAGAUGCCAGUAGGUGUGGUUAAAAUCAUCAGUUAUUGGAGCCACCUGGGCCUGGUGUUCUCCAGUAUAAAAGCAUGUCUCAUGUUCUGCACUGUGGGCUAGAGAGGAGGGAAACCCUGUUCCCUAUGCUCCAUGCUCCUCCUUAUUUUUGUUUCUUUCACCAUACAACACUCCACUCACUAUUUCUUCAAGCAUGCAUACCUGCUGACAUGACUGACCUAUUGAUUAUCACACUUCAUAGGAUUAUUUGAAUAUCAAGUUGUUUCUGUUUGUUUAGAAAUAAAAGUAAUGGUACCAUACUGCA
Long non-coding RNA from Micropterus salmoides (largemouth bass), 385 nucleotides. RefSeq lists it as uncharacterized. The transcript is spliced from 2 exons. The record is from RefSeq and is a predicted model, not a curated record. NCBI's taxonomy places the organism in Eukaryota, Metazoa, Chordata, Actinopteri, Centrarchiformes, Centrarchidae.